AAGUCGUAACAAGGUUUCCGUAGGUGAACCUGCGGAAGGAUCAUUAUUGAAUUCAACUGUGAAGCUGUUGCUGGCUCUCCGGAGCACUGUGCACGCUUUACAACAUUAUUCAACCACCUGUGAACCUUUUGUAGACCCGGUAGAUAUUUUCAAGGAAACUUGGAUGGGAGGUUGCUGUUCUCUCAGAGAGCGGCUUCGUCUGAUUUAUCUGGGUCUAUGUCUAUUAUACUCCACAGUAUGUUAAAGAAUGUGUAAUGGCUGUAUGGCCUUAAACUAUACAACUUUCAACAACGGAUCUCUUGGCUCUC
This 308-nucleotide unclassified non-coding RNA is filed under the name air metagenome. RNAcentral's name for it is "partial contains small subunit ribosomal RNA, internal transcribed spacer 1, and 5.8S ribosomal RNA". The stretch from base 1 to 46 matches the Rfam family "Eukaryotic small subunit ribosomal RNA", at positions 1786 to 1831 of the family's 1831-position model. The record is from RNAcentral.